ACCACACACACAUAAAUAAGAUAUUUUAAAUGCAUCGAUCCUAAUUUGUGCAUAUGAAAAGCAAUAUUUUUUCAGCAUUUUUAGAUAAAAUACCAGGAGGCUCAAUAGAAUUUAUAAUGAUCAAAUUGAAGGUAGGAGAGGUCAAUUUUUAUGAUAGAUACAAGAUAAAAGAGGCCAAGAAUUAUGUACAAAAGAAUCACACAAAUUAU
Molecule: long non-coding RNA, 209 nt
Organism: Gordionus sp. m RMFG-2023
Lineage: Eukaryota; Metazoa; Nematomorpha; Gordioida; Chordodea; Parachordodidae
Exons: 3
Source: RefSeq, a predicted model, not a curated record